This 254-nucleotide ribosomal RNA is filed under the name uncultured bacterium. RNAcentral's name for it is "partial 16S ribosomal RNA". It matches the Rfam family "Bacterial small subunit ribosomal RNA", at positions 524 to 777 of the family's 1533-position model. The record is from RNAcentral.
UACGAAGGGGGCUAGCGUUGUUCGGAAUUACUGGGCGUAAAGCGCACGUAGGCGGAAAUUUAAGUCAGGGGUGAAAUCCCGGGGCUCAACCCCGGAACUGCCUUUGAUACUGGGUUUCUUGAGUUCGGAAGAGGUAAGUGGAAUUGCGAGUGUAGAGGUGAAAUUCGUAGAUAUUCGCAGGAACACCAGUGGCGAAGGCGGCUCACUGGCCCGAUACUGACGCUGAGGUGCGAAAGCGUGGGGAGCAAACAGGG